AACGAACGCUGGCGGCAUGCCUAACACAUGCAAGUCGAACGAGACCUUCGGGUCUAGUGGCGCACGGGUGCGUAACGCGUGGGAACCUGCCCUUAGGUUCGGAAUAACUCCCCGAAAGGGGUGCUAAUACCGGAUAAUGUCUUCGGACCAAAGAUUUAUCGCCUUUGGAUGGGCCCGCGUUGGAUUAGCUAGUUGGUAGGGUAAAAGCCUACCAAGGCGACGAUCCAUAGCUGGUCUGAGAGGAUGAUCAGCCACACUGGGACUGAGACACGGCCCAGACUCCUACGGGAGGCAGCAGUGGGGAAUAUGGGACAAUGGGCGAAAGCCUGAGCCAGCAAGGCCGCGUGAGUGAUGAAGGCCUUAGGGUUGUAAAGCUCUUUUACCCGGGAUGAUAAUGACAGUACCGGGAGAAUAAGCACCGGCUAACUCCGU
Molecule: ribosomal RNA, 432 nt
Filed under: uncultured bacterium
Lineage: Bacteria
Description: partial 16S ribosomal RNA
Rfam family: Bacterial small subunit ribosomal RNA
Source: RNAcentral